RNAcentral lists this long non-coding RNA (1528 nucleotides) under Solanum pimpinellifolium. Its description in RNAcentral is "long non-coding RNA (SPIM_LNC000158)". The record is from RNAcentral. Lineage: Eukaryota; Viridiplantae; Streptophyta; Magnoliopsida; Solanales; Solanaceae.
CUGAUGUAUUACCUCCUGGAUUAUCUCGGUUCCCUCCACCCCCGCCUCCAACAGAUAUGCGACCACCACCUGGAAUUGCCAUCCAGCCUGCUCCUCCUGGAAUGAUGGUCCCUCUCUUGCCAAGACCACCUUUUGGACCUCCACUAAUGAUGAGACCACCGCUUCCACCUGGUCCCCCUCCUUUUCAACAGGAUGGUACUAGACUACUUGCUCCUCAGAAGCCAUCAUAUGUCAAAUCAGCUGCUUCAACAGUUGUUAAGAGGCCUCUAGCUCAGCAUACACCAGAACUUACAUCAAUGGUGAGUGAUCUUCUUUUAUUUUUUUACCUAGUUGUUGUCCUCCUGCAUUUAUUUACAACUACUGUUAAGUGUACUUUGGUGUCAUUUCAAUGCAAAACUAAUAUAUUAUACUGGAGUGUUUUCCCCAUCCAAAUUGGAUGAUAACGAGGGGAUUAUGGGCAAGUUCAAAUCCUUGUCCAAAGUUUGCCAGGAGGGUUAAGCACUGUAUAGNCUGCUUCAAUCUGCAGGACCGAGAAUACCAUCGUCUAGUGGUGCUGCAUCAUCAUCAAAGUCAGAUGUGGAAGAUGGCACUUUAUCAGCUCUUCCACCCCCACCACCGCCACCUCCAUUGCCCCCAACUGGUGAUGCAGAUACUGUAGAUGGAUCUGCGGUCCCUGCAUCCUUAUCUUUACCUCCUCCACCACCUAUGCCCCCUAAGCCUGCAGUGACAGACAUGGGCGCUUCAUUGCCAUUACCUCCUUUGCCCCCACCACCUCCUGGUCCCCCACCAAAGGAACAGAUAUCUGGUCAUCUUCCACUUCCUCCACCUCCUCCUCGACCUCUUCAUCAAUCUGUCCAACCUCCUCAUUCUGGCAUAGGUGGAAAUGAAAGGGAUAAAAAUCAUUCUGAACUGGAUGAGAGGUCCACAACAGAACAAAAUCAGGUAUGCUACUUAUUAGUAAGAUUUCUUUCUGGGACAUUUGGAGAAGUGGUUUAUUUGUGGUUUCUAGUCCUUGGCCCUUAAGUUACUCACAAUCUUGUUAAUUUUUCAGGCCUCAUCCAUGCUUCCCCCACCACCUCCUCCACCAGGGUUGCCACUGAAGUCAGAUGGCAUGCCUGCUGACUCUGAUGCUAAAGUUUUGGAAACAAUAGAUCAUCUUAAAUUACCUCCACCACCUCCACGACCACAGCCUUCAGGUCCUGGACCUGCCAUGGCCCCAACUUUUCAACCUGAUGUAUUACCUCCUGGAUUAUCUCGGUUCCCUCCACCCCCGCCUCCAACAGAUAUGCGACCACCACCUGGAAUUGCCAUCCAGCCUGCUCCUCCUGGAAUGAUGGUCCCUCUCUUGCCAAGACCACCUUUUGGACCUCCACUAAUGAUGAGACCACCGCUUCCACCUGGUCCCCCUCCUUUUCAACAGGAUGGUACUAGACUACUUGCUCCUCAGAAGCCAUCAUAUGUCAAAUCAGCUGCUUCAACAGUUGUUAAGAGGCCUCUAGCUCAGCAUACACCAGAACUUACAUCAAUG